RNAcentral lists this transfer RNA (69 nucleotides) under Camelus bactrianus (Bactrian camel). It matches the Rfam family "tRNA". From Rfam's summary of the family: Transfer RNA (tRNA) molecules are approximately 80 nucleotides in length. Their secondary structure includes four short double-helical elements and three loops (D, anti-codon, and T loops). RNAcentral also lists the same sequence under 2 other names. Lineage: Eukaryota; Metazoa; Chordata; Mammalia; Artiodactyla; Camelidae. The record is from Rfam by way of RNAcentral.
GGAAUAGCUCAGUGGUAGAGUGGGUGCUUUGCAUGCAUAAGGUCCUGGGUUCAAUUCCCUGUACAUCCA